GGACUGGAAAGGAGAGGAACAAAGCUGACAGGUAUGCGCUGGAUUGCCAGGAGAAGGCGUAUUGGCUGGUGCACCGAAGCCCUCCUGGAAUGAACAAUGUGUUAGACUACGGCCUGGACCGCGUGACCAAUCCAAACGAAGUUAAGAAACAAACAGUCACUGCUGUCAGAAAGGAGGUAAUUAGUCUCCCAGUUCCAACGAAGCUUGACUUUUAAAAAUCUUCUAACAAAUUAUGUGUGCUGUGGCUCCAUGGUUCACCCUUAGUAAUGAAAUAGAAGCCAUGUGUAAUGUUC
This 293-nucleotide long non-coding RNA is filed under the name Rattus norvegicus (Norway rat). RNAcentral's name for it is "long non-coding RNA NONRATT006209". Lineage: Eukaryota; Metazoa; Chordata; Mammalia; Rodentia; Muridae. The record is from RNAcentral.